This 322-nucleotide ribosomal RNA is filed under the name uncultured eukaryote. RNAcentral describes it as "partial 18S ribosomal RNA". It matches the Rfam family "Eukaryotic small subunit ribosomal RNA", at positions 1470 to 1796 of the family's 1831-position model. The record is from RNAcentral.
CCCUUAGAUGUUCUGGGCCGCACGCGCGCUACACUGACUGACUCAACGAGUUUACAACCUGUGCCGAAAGGUAUGGGUAAUCUUUUGAAAUUCAGUCGUGAUGGGGCUAGAUUAUUGCAACUAUUAAUCUUCAACGAGGAAUGCCUAGUAAGCGCGAAUCAUCAGUUCGCGUUGAUUACGUCCCUGCCCUUUGUACACACCGCCCGUCGCUCCUACCGAUUGAAUGGUCCGGUGAAAUCUCGGGACGGCGGCUUGGUCGCUUGCGUCCGACUGCUGAAACUUGAUUAAACCAUNUNAUUUAGNGGAAGGUGAANUCGUANCA